This 421-nucleotide long non-coding RNA is filed under the name Anser brachyrhynchus (Pink-footed goose). Its description in RNAcentral is "lncRNA (ENSABRG00000007902.1)". The record is from RNAcentral. Lineage: Eukaryota; Metazoa; Chordata; Aves; Anseriformes; Anatidae.
UCUGUAUCAUGUAUUUUGCAGAACUGCUGAGAGGACUGUAAAGUCAGAAAAGAUAUAGGUGAUGUUAUCCCGCUACUGGAUCAGUAUCCCUACUCUUAAACUGAAGUGGAUUAAAGAGGAUAGAGAAAUAAGAAGAUUCAUGAAAGUUUUUUGUGUUUGGAAUGUGUGAUACACCCUAGAGAUUAAGAUCUUCAAAAAGGAGAACAUGAUUCAAGGAUUGGUUGAUAUAGGCAACAUAUUCACCCUGUACUUGAACAUUCGAGCAGACCCAGAUAAUCAUAGCAAAUAUGGCCAAGGAAAGAGUAAAAUACUGUUUUGCCACUUCCAAUCAUUUCUUCUUCUGGUGCUCGAGAAGGUACUAGUUGCCAUAAGAGCCUGGAGACUGGGUAUAGACAGAAGCUGCUUUCUGAGAAUGCUCUGA